CCUACGGGAGGCAGCAGUAGGGAAUCUUUCACAAUGGGCGAAAGCCUGAUGGAGCAACGCCGCGUGCAGGAUGAAGGCCUUCGGGUUGUAAACUGCUUUUAUAAGCGAGAAAUAUGAUGGUAACUUAUGAAUAUGGAUCGGCUAACUACGUGCCAGCAGCCGCGGUCAUACGUAGGAUCCGAGCAUUAUCCGGAGUGACUGGGUGUAAAGAGUUGCGUAGGUGGCAUAAUAAGUAGCUAGUGAAAUCUGGUGGCUCAACCAUUCAGACUAUUAGCUAAACUGUUAAGCUCGAGACCGUUAGGGGUAACUGGAAUUUCUAGUGUAGGAGUGAAAUCCGUAGAUAGUAGAAGGAACACCAAUAGCGUAGGCAGGUUGCUGGGACGGUUCUGACACUAAGGCACGAAAGCGUAGGGAGCAAACGGGAUUAGAUACCCUAGUAGUC
RNAcentral lists this ribosomal RNA (442 nucleotides) under uncultured bacterium. Its description in RNAcentral is "partial 16S ribosomal RNA". It matches the Rfam family "Bacterial small subunit ribosomal RNA", at positions 338 to 795 of the family's 1533-position model. The record is from RNAcentral.